Molecule: ribosomal RNA, 331 nt
Filed under: Dentaliidae sp.
Lineage: Eukaryota; Metazoa; Mollusca; Scaphopoda; Dentaliida; Dentaliidae
Description: partial 16S ribosomal RNA
Source: RNAcentral
UGGAUAGACGUGAGAUCCCCUGUCUCUUUUUUACUAUUUUGAAACUAAUCUUGAAGUGAAAAAGCUUUAAUGAUAAGAAAAGACAAGAAGACCCUAUCAAUUUUAAACUUUAUCCUUUAUUUAUGAGGUGAUUUUUUGGUUGGGGCAACAGACAAGGAAAAGCAUCCUUUUUUUUUUAGGUUUUUGUAGAGAACCGACCCAAAAUUUUUGAAUAAUGAAAUAAAUACUGUAGGGAUAACAGCAUAAUUUUUUUUUGGAGCCCUUAUCUGAAUAAAAGCUUAUGACCUCGAUGUUGGACUAAGGUAACUUUUUGGCGCAGAAGCUUUAUAAG